Molecule: transfer RNA, 66 nt
Filed under: Geoscapheus crenulatus crenulatus
Lineage: Eukaryota; Metazoa; Arthropoda; Insecta; Blattodea; Blaberidae
Description: tRNA-Phe
Source: RNAcentral
GUUUUAAUAACUUAAGUUAAAGUAUAGUAUUGAAGAUACUAGGAUGAUUAAUAUAAUCUUAAAACA